This 2143-nucleotide long non-coding RNA is filed under the name Homo sapiens (human). RNAcentral describes it as "long non-coding RNA NONHSAT003302.2". Lineage: Eukaryota; Metazoa; Chordata; Mammalia; Primates; Hominidae. The record is from RNAcentral.
UCCAAGUCCAAACUUUUUACCGUGGUCUAUAAAGACCUAAGAGGUGCCGCUCCUACCUACCUAUCCGACAUCAUCUCCUGCUAUCUCCCAGCUCACCACUCUUCAACCACACUGACCACCUGAGACACGCCUAGCUCAUUCCCGCCCUGCAGCCUUGACAUCUGGUAUUCCCUUUGUGUAGAAUGGUCUUCCUUAUGAGCUUCACAAGGCUGAGCCCUUCUUGUUAAUUAGGACUCGGCUGCAAUAUACCCUUUACAGAGAGCUCUCUAAUGGCCAACCUAUCUAAAAGCAGCCCAUCCAGCAAUUAUUCUACCAUGUUAUUUUUUGACCACUCACUGCUAUCUGGAAUCAUCUUUUUGUUUAUGAUCUCUCUCCCGGCAGUAAAACACAAGUUCCACGAGAGGGGAAGUUUGUCUACCUUCGCUGCCGUAUUCCCAAAGAGUGGAACAGAGCCUGGCACACAGUGGGCGUUCAGUCAACGUUUGCUGAAUGGAUAGAAAGACCCCGUGGAGCAGACACAGUGGCGUUCCUUUAAGAUCUGCACUGCACAGGUCUCAGUCCCUCCCUCCUCUAGUUCCCCACAGAUUUCCGACCCUCGGCCUCCCCACUCGCCGGCCCCCAGGCCUGGUCCCCGCUCCCGGCGGGCGGCAGGCUGCUUUUACCGUCCGGUCGAAACUCAAACUCCAGGAACUCGUGGCCGAACUUGCCCUUGUGCCCCACGUAGUAACGCAGAUAAAAGUCACUCUCCAUGGCUCCCAAAAGACAACCGAGCCUGAACUUCCAAGAGCAAGCCGCACUGCCGCCGUCUGCGCCCGACACUGACGUUUGCGGCGGCGCGCGGAAGUGACGUCAGGUCCCGUCGUCGCUGCGUGGAGGGGUUCCUUCUCGCUAACCUCUUCGCCCGGAAGUGGCAACAAGACUGCAACAUCCCCUCACGCCUAGUCUGUAAAGAACUUUGUUUAACCCGGAGGCGGGGCCAGCCAGCUCCGCCCCUCCAGCUGGACGCGGGAGCGAGGUUGAGGUUCAUACCCCUGGGUUCUCUCCAGGCCUGAGGCGGAGAGCCAGCCGCCUGCCUACCUCUGGGCUUUGAACCCCGGGUCUGGUGACUUCGCUUAAAGACCUCGGGCCGAAGGCCCGCCAGGCUCAACCUCGGUUCACAGGACCCCCGACUUGUGUGAGUCGUACACCGCUCUUUACCGUCUCUGGACCUAGGUCAUCUCGGCAGUAAAAUGGGGUGAAAUGACCCGACCUCCCCGGAGGAUGCCGCGCACGAUGUGUGCCUCAAGUUGGCUUCCACUGACCUGAACUGUUAAGAAAGCCCUCCUCAGUGACGCCUUCCCUGAAUCCACAGUGGAGAUUGCCGUUUUCCUGGAACUAAUUCACCCACACUUACCCAUUUCAUCCCUUUCCACCUUUUAUUUCUACCUUUCUGCCCCACUGAUCUCUAGAAUAGGUGCUGGGAGACGUUAGAGUAUUUGAUCUCCCACUCCCCAGUCAUCCCACUUACCGAGCAGUAAUUCUCUGCCUGGCUGCACAUUGCAAUCACUUGGGAAGCCUCUAAAAAUACUGAUGCCAGGGCUCUACCCCAAGCCAGUUAAAAUCUCCAGCGCUGGACCUGGGCAUUGGUACUUUUUGUAAAGCUUUCAGGUCAAGGAAGAGCAAGACUGAAAAUGUUUACCAGAUUUAUAAUCGAGGAGGUCCUGGAUGACCUUGGCAAAAGCAACCCCAAUGGCAUGGGAAUGAAUGUUUACCAAGAUGAUGCCAGUAUAGCUAGUGAGAUGCAGCACCCCAUCCUCAGCCCCCUCGCCUCUGGAAGAGACACCAGACUGCAAAGGGCACCGCGUACAGAAGCUAACGGAACUUGAAUGACAAGACAAAAAGAGCAGAAUCAGUUAGUGUGACACAACAUUCUAACAUGCCUGAUUCUUACAUCAAAUAUGGUAACUUUGGGGUUGGUAGGGGGAGACAAACAAGGAGAAUCCACUUGGGAACAAUUUGAUGAAGUUUGCAAAUCAGCACUUUACCCCCAAAUUAACAACAGCUUGUAUGGAAAAAAAAAUGCUCUUUUAAAAGUAUAUGGUUUGGACAGGUAUAUUUGUUUUCUCUUGUAGUUUUUGUAAAAAAGUAUCAAAACCUUGGCUUU